RNAcentral lists this ribosomal RNA (237 nucleotides) under uncultured bacterium. RNAcentral describes it as "partial 16S ribosomal RNA". It matches the Rfam family "Bacterial small subunit ribosomal RNA", at positions 15 to 241 of the family's 1533-position model. The record is from RNAcentral.
GAUCCUGGCUCAGGAUGAACGCUAGCGACAGGCCUAACACAUGCAAGUCGAGGGGCAGCGGAGAGGUAGCAAUACCUUUGCCGGCGACCGGCGCACGGGUGAGUAACACGUAUGCAAUCCACCUGUAACAGGGGGAUAACCCGGAGAAAUCCGGACUAAUACCCCAUAAUAUGGGCGUUCCGCAUGGAGAGCUCAUUAAAGAGAGCAAUUUUGGUUACAGACGAGCAUGCGCUCCUA